UACGUAGGUGGCAAGCGUUGUCCGGAUUUACUGGGCGUAAAGCGCGCGUAGGCGGCUUCAUAAGUCUGUGGUGAAAUCUCCCGGCUUAACCGGGAGGGGUCUAUGGAUACUGUGAGGCUUGAGUGCCGUAGAGGAAAGCGGAAUUCCCGGUGUAGUGGUGAAAUGCGUAGAUAUCGGGAGGAACACCAGUGGCGAAAGCGGCUUUCCAGACGGUAACUGACGCUGAGGCGCGAAAGCGUGGGGAGCGAACCGG
RNAcentral lists this ribosomal RNA (253 nucleotides) under uncultured bacterium. Its description in RNAcentral is "partial 16S ribosomal RNA". It matches the Rfam family "Bacterial small subunit ribosomal RNA", at positions 524 to 776 of the family's 1533-position model. The record is from RNAcentral.